This is a non-coding RNA of Oryctolagus cuniculus (rabbit), 681 nucleotides long. The record is from RefSeq and is a predicted model, not a curated record. NCBI's taxonomy places the organism in Eukaryota, Metazoa, Chordata, Mammalia, Lagomorpha, Leporidae.
GCGGCCACCACCUAUGUUGGGCGCUGCCAGUUCGCCCAGGGUGCCCCAGGGUGGGGGCGCCCCAGGGCGGGGGGCCGGGGGGCCCUGAACCGGAUUCUCCCCGCCACCCCCACCCCUCGGGGCCAGGAGACCCCAGCUGAACCCACUCACGCCCACCUGUGGGCCCCCCUCCCCCGUUAAGCUCAGCACCAGAGGCUCAGCAAUGGGCACCGAGGGCGAGCCCGUUGUUCCCACGUCUUCCAGGGCCUUGUCCAUUCAGGCAUCCUCAACCGGCCUCCCCGCCCGGGCCACCCCGCCCUCCAGCCUCCCUCCCUGCCCACAGUGGUCGCCCGGGGGCCCGCGGCGUGGCGGAUCCGGGCGCCACCUAGCGUCUGGUUUGCUCACCUGCGUCUGCAGGCAUCCGAAGGAAGAGCCCAGGGAAGUUUCUGGGGUUCAAACUUUGCAGGGCGUCUUUGGUGUCACUGUGAACACAGGUGUCACAGGUGCGCACACAGCUCCCUGCUAUGGCCUGGGAAAGCAGUGGAAGAUGGCCCAAGUGCUUGGGCCCUUGCAUCCAUAUCGGGGACCUGGAAGAAGCUCCUGGCUCCUGGCUCCGGACUGGCCCAGCCCUGGCCAUUGCAGCCAUCUGGGGAGUGGACCAGCAGAUGGAAGACCUGUCUCUCUGUCUCUUCCUUUCUAUAA